AUCACAUGAUGGGGACACUUCUUUAAAAACUCCUUAAACCACUCCCAAUCAUCAUAGCAAGACACCCCAUCAUUCUGAUGGAAAUUAUUGAUUUUGGCUCUCAAAUU
Humulus lupulus (European hop) is the source of this 107-nucleotide small nucleolar RNA. NCBI's taxonomy places the organism in Eukaryota, Viridiplantae, Streptophyta, Magnoliopsida, Rosales, Cannabaceae. The record is from RefSeq and is a predicted model, not a curated record.